This 253-nucleotide ribosomal RNA is filed under the name uncultured bacterium. RNAcentral's name for it is "partial 16S ribosomal RNA". It matches the Rfam family "Bacterial small subunit ribosomal RNA", at positions 524 to 776 of the family's 1533-position model. The record is from RNAcentral.
UACGGAGGAUCCGAGCGUUAUCCGGAUUUAUUGGGUUUAAAGGGGGCGCAGACGGCAAUGCAAGCCAGGAGUGAAAGCCCGGGGCCCAACCCCGGGACUGCUCUUGGAACUGCAUGGCUGGAGUACAGGAGGGGCAGGCGGGAUUCCUAGUGUAGCGGUGAAAUGCGUAGAUAUUAGGAGGAACACCGGUGGCGAAGGCGGCCUGCUGGACUGUGACUGACGUUGAGGCCCGAAGGCGUGGGGAGCAAACAGG